Molecule: long non-coding RNA, 1274 nt
Organism: Xiphophorus couchianus (Monterrey platyfish)
Lineage: Eukaryota; Metazoa; Chordata; Actinopteri; Cyprinodontiformes; Poeciliidae
Exons: 3
Source: RefSeq, a predicted model, not a curated record
GUACGACUGACAGCAUCCCCAUCUCACCGCAGAGAGGCUGCGCUGAUGGGAAGUAAACUGUAUGCCGGUGGAUGAUGACACCAGACUUUAUUAAUGUUUAUUCAUUCUUCUACCGCAAGUUACUUUAUAUCAUGAAGAGAAAGAGGAGAGAAACCCUUCAUAUAAAGACUGACAAUUUCCAACAAAUAGAGCAGAAAGUGACAUUUUGUGCAGAUGCAUCGAUCAGACGCAGUCUUAUUGCUGUUUGAAAAAUAUCUGAUUCAACAGAAGGCUGAAAAUGUGUUUUCUUAUUUAAUCAAAAAUAAGUUUUAAAUAAAAGAGGGACUAAUCUGAAGGGUAAAAAAGGAGGAGGGGGCCUCUACUGCAGCAUGGCUCUCACAUUCCAGUGCGUCGCAGAAAAAAAGGGGGGAUUUAGAGCGACUUAUUUCCUUUAAAUUGUCCUCCGGUCCGCAGAGCCAGCCAGUCUGAGGAUGUUGCAGGCCUGCACCGAAAUGCACCGGGGAUCAGACCGAGGAGCCGGUGGGGUUUCAUCUGGGUUGGAUAUCCAAGUGAGGACAAACGAUGGAAGAAGACGAAGAAAGGGACCCGCCUGAAUCACUUGAUGUUACCUUAUUUAUUAAGAUUUCGAUCGGAGGAGGUGAGUUCAUGGAUCCAGAAGUUGGAUUUGUCUUGGACCUGAGAAGCAGAGAAAAGUUUUGCUGUCGGGAAAAGUUGCACCACAGGCAGGAGUUUGCAAACAAACAAGUUGAAGCAGUGAACACAGUCAACGUCCACUAGAAGUCAAGGUCAAGACGGGCUGACAGAGACAAACAAGAGGAGGGAAACUCACACUUAUGAGAAACGUCUGAAGGAAGCUUUGCAUGAAAACAUCCCUUCAAUUUUCAACUUUAAAACUCUUAAACAGUUUUUUUUGUAAUUGCUUGUGACUGAAACAUAAUUAAUUGACUGUGACUGGUUUUGCAAUUAAACUUCAAUGCAAAAAACCAUUGUUGCUUCUAUUGUUGAAGGUUUACUCUGUCCCCCUCUCUCACCAUUAGUAGCCCCUCUUCCUGUGUGCUCUGAGGAGUUUGCACGGCGUGGUAAAACCUGCCCUGCAGACCGGACCUUCCCAGUCUUCAAAGCAGGAAGAACUCAAUGCAAGGGGGAUUUGUUCAGGCUUAUUUGGUAACCUAGGAUUUGAAUUGGAUUCUUGGAGGCAUUCACGACACAUUUGAAAAAUGUUACAUUGUGCGAUUUUGUGUGUAAUCCCCAUAAUAAAUUUUUAGAAAUGGUCA